This 1599-nucleotide unclassified non-coding RNA is filed under the name Yarrowia lipolytica. The record is from RNAcentral. Lineage: Eukaryota; Fungi; Ascomycota; Dipodascomycetes; Dipodascales.
CGGUAUUUAAAUCAUAAAUGAAAUAAAAUAAAAUCAUAAAUGAAAUGAAAUAAAAUCAUAAAUGAAAUGAAAUAAAAUCAUAAAUGAAAUGAAAUAAAAUCAUAAAUGAAAUAAAAUAUGACAUGAAAUAUGGAAAAUCGUUGAAAACACAGAUUCAACCCGGAGCCAUCUCAGCUCCUAAAUGCUCCCCUACUCCACUAAAUUCCUGUCCUCCUCCUGAUUUACAGUCGGCCAAUUUGGAAUGGUACUACCGAUCAUGAGCCAAGGGGUAAUUUCCGGAUAGUCGGAGCCCUCUGAAUUAUAAUGUGGCGAGGGUCAUAAUGUGGCAAGGGAACGUCAAGUGAACUCUCUGGCUGGAUCCCGCGUGUGUUUUGAGCAGGUGGAUAUCGUUUAAUUGACUAAGCGACAUUGUUGGUUGGUGUUUUGUUGAUAGGCUGGAAUUGUUAGUUGGUGUUUUGUUGAUUGGUUGAAAUUGUUAGUUGACGUUUUGUUGAUAUCAUUAAACGAAGCCGGUCUGAAAUAGCCACGGAACAACGCUGGUGAUCUGAAAGGGAUAGACCAAUUCACAAGUGCUGUGUCGCAGGUAGCAGCACUGGUAUUUGUCGAAUAGAAUAAUGACUCUGUUCCAGGUUAGCGAAAACCAUGUUAGCAGAGCUGUGAGACGUUCCUGGGGGCUUCUGGCCCCACAAAACUGCUUGCUCGUCUCAACGAUAGAGUACGAACCGCCACAGUUGCACGAAAUGUCCAAUCGAUUCAGCAGAUCCGUUAUCAGGUCAGACAGAGGUCGUUCUCGGGCCUCGUUAGCAGGCUCGAACUGGUCGUCGACCUUAGCCUGAAUUCCUUGGUGAGUCAAUGCUACACGUACUGGCUUGAACUCACUCUUGUCCCCGUUCUCGAAGGACUGAGGGGAAAUGCCGACAGUUCUUGGCCUGGGUCUGUAGGUACAGGCUCCAAUGACUCGACGUUGUUCUGCUUGUCGGGCUCGGUGAUUCGGGGCUGACCCUCAUUGUCUUGGUUGGCUCGCUCAUAUUCUGGAGCAUUGCUCUCGGGGGUUCACCGGACCACUUUCGCUCAGCAAGAGUACCUCGCUCGAGGGAAGAUCCACAUCAUUCGGGGCUUGAGACGUACUCGCAGUACUGCCUGGCAAUGGGAAUUGGAAUGACUUGAGGUAACGAUGGAGAUUCAAGACAGAAUCAUGCCUUCUGAAAUGUCGUCUUGAAGUGUCAGAAAGGUUUUCGGGAAAUCUGAGUGUCAACUUGGGCUGAAUGGUGGCCAGAGGGUGAGCUUCAGAUCGUCGCGUAAGUGGAGACCGUAGACCAAGUGACCAGGUCCAUUGAACGGGUCUAAUUGAGACACAGGACCACCAAGAACUCCAGUUACCGAACCGAGCACAAUUUGAGCUACUCCAGAGGCAAUUUCGGAGCGACUGCAAUCGUGAUCGUCUAUUCGACUCGGGAAACGAGUAUCGAAUGAUCGUAGGUACUUGGUACUUUUGGCAGAUGGGGCCGAACAUCAAUGUGGCGUCAUUGUGGGACUAUUUUGCCACAAAUUCGUCUUGUUGGCUCCGACAGCAUUUCAUUGUGGGUUAUUUCAUUUCUG